RNAcentral lists this ribosomal RNA (467 nucleotides) under uncultured bacterium. RNAcentral describes it as "partial 16S ribosomal RNA". It matches the Rfam family "Bacterial small subunit ribosomal RNA", at positions 28 to 507 of the family's 1533-position model. The record is from RNAcentral.
GAUGAACGCUGGCGGCGUGCUUAACACAUGCAAGUCGAACGGAAAGGCCCAAGCUUGCUUGGGUACUCGAGUGGCGAACGGGUGAGUAACACGUGGGUGAUCUGCCCUGCACUUCGGGAUAAGCCUGGGAAACUGGGUCUAAUACUGGAUAGGACCUCUUCUUGGAUGUUGUGGUGGAAAGUUUUUUCGGUGUGGGGUGAGCUCGCGGCCUAUCAGCUUGUUGGGGGGGUAAUGGGCUACCAAGGCGUCGCCGGGUAGCCGGCCUGAGGGGGUGUACGGCCGCAUUGAGACUGAGAGACGGCCCAGACGCCUACGGGAGGCAGAAGGGGGGAAUAUUGAACCAUGGGCGCAAGCCUGAUGCAGAGAGGCCGCGUGGGGGAUGACGGCCUUCGGGUUGAAAACGCGUUUCGCUAGGGACGAAGCGUUUUGUGACGGUACCUGGAGAAGAAGCACCGGCUAACUACGUG